GAUGAACGCUGGCGGCGUGCCUAAUACAUGCAAGUCGAGCGAACGGACGAGAAGCUUGCUUCUCUGAUGUUAGCGGCGGACGAGUGAGUAACACGUGGAUAACCUACCUAUAAGACUGGGAUAACUUCGGGAAACCGGAGCUAAUACCGGAUAAUAUUUUGAACCGCAUGGUUCAACAGUGAAAGACGGUCUUGCUGUCACUUAUAGAUGGAUCCGCGCUGCAUUAGCUAGUUGGUAAGGUAACGGCUUACCAAGGCAACGAUGCAUAGCCGACCUGAGAGGGUGAUCGGCCACACUGGAACUGAGACACGGUCCAGACUCCUACGGGAGGCAGCAGUAGGGAAUCUUCCGCAAUGGGCGAAAGCCUGACGGAGCAACGCCGCGUGAGUGAUGAAGGUCUUCGGAUCGUAAAACUCUGUUAUUAGGGAAGAACAUAUGUGUAAGUAACUGUGCACAUCUUGACGGUACCUAAUCAGAAAGCCACGGCUAACUACGUG
Molecule: ribosomal RNA, 497 nt
Filed under: uncultured bacterium
Lineage: Bacteria
Description: partial 16S ribosomal RNA
Rfam family: Bacterial small subunit ribosomal RNA
Source: RNAcentral